UGGGGAAUAUUGCACAAUGGAGGGAACUCUGAUGCAGCGACGCCGCGUGAGUGAUGAAGGACUUCGUUUCUUAAAACCCUGUUCUAUGGGAAGAAAAGGACUGUACCAUAGGAGAAAGCUCCGGCUAAAUACGUGCCAGCAGCCGCGGUAAUACGUAUGGAGCGAGCGUUGUCCGGAAUUAUUGGGCGUAAAGGGUGCGCAGGCGGCUUUACAAGUUGGAUGUGAAAUAUUGUGGCUCAACCACAAACGUGCAUCCAAAACUGCAAAGCUUGAGUUAAGGAGAGGUAAGUUGAAUUCCUGGUGUAGCGGUGGAAUGCGUAGAUAUCAGGAGGAAUACCGGUGGCGAAGGCGACUUACUGGACUUAAAAUGACGCUCAGGCACGAAAGCGUGGGGAGCAAACAGG
This 404-nucleotide ribosomal RNA is filed under the name Fusobacteriota bacterium. RNAcentral describes it as "Fusobacteria bacterium partial 16S ribosomal RNA". It matches the Rfam family "Bacterial small subunit ribosomal RNA", at positions 355 to 776 of the family's 1533-position model. The record is from RNAcentral. Lineage: Bacteria; Fusobacteriati; Fusobacteriota.